This 72-nucleotide transfer RNA is filed under the name bacterium. RNAcentral describes it as "tRNA-Gln". It matches the Rfam family "tRNA". Rfam says of the family: Transfer RNA (tRNA) molecules are approximately 80 nucleotides in length. The record is from RNAcentral. RNAcentral also lists the same sequence under 2 other names.
UGGGGAGUAGCCAAGUGGUAAGGCAUCGCUCUUUGGAAGCGACUACCGUAGGUUCGAUUCCUACCUCCCCAG